GCUGGGCACGGGGGCGCAUGCCUGUAAUCCCAGCAGCUCAGGAGACUGAGGCAGAGGAAUCAUGAGUUUGAGGCCAGCCCCAGCAAUUCAGCUGGGCCCUAAGCGACUCAGCAAGACCCUGUCUCUA
Molecule: small RNA, 127 nt
Filed under: Marmota monax (woodchuck)
Lineage: Eukaryota; Metazoa; Chordata; Mammalia; Rodentia; Sciuridae
Source: RNAcentral